RNAcentral lists this transfer RNA (66 nucleotides) under Sepiadariidae sp. GS-2020. RNAcentral describes it as "tRNA-Leu". Lineage: Eukaryota; Metazoa; Mollusca; Cephalopoda; Sepiida; Sepiadariidae. The record is from RNAcentral.
GCGGAGUUGGCAGAAUAAUGUGAAUAAUUUAGGUUUAUUUUAUGAGAUGGGUUAUCUUACUUUGUA